AUACGGAGGGGGUUAGCGUUGUUCGGAAUUACUGGGCGUAAAGCGCACGUAGGCGGACUGGAAAGUUGGGGGUGAAAUCCCGGGGCUCAACCCCGGAACUGCCUCCAAAACUUCCAAUCUAGAGAUCGAGAGAGGUAAGUGGAAUCCCUAGUGUAGAGGUGAAAUUCGUAGAUAUUAGGAGGAACACCAGUGGCGAAGGCGGCUUACUGGCUCGAUACUGACGCUGAGGUGCGAAAGCGUGGGGAGCAAACAGGAUUAGAAACCCUAGUAGUCC
This 274-nucleotide ribosomal RNA is filed under the name uncultured bacterium. RNAcentral describes it as "partial 16S ribosomal RNA". It matches the Rfam family "Bacterial small subunit ribosomal RNA", at positions 523 to 796 of the family's 1533-position model. The record is from RNAcentral.